GAGGGUGUAGCUCAGUGAUAGAGGGUGUGCGUAGCAUGCAUGAUGUCCUGGGUUCAAUCCCCAGCACCUCCA
This 72-nucleotide transfer RNA is filed under the name Camelus bactrianus (Bactrian camel). It matches the Rfam family "tRNA". Rfam says of the family: Transfer RNA (tRNA) molecules are approximately 80 nucleotides in length. Their secondary structure includes four short double-helical elements and three loops (D, anti-codon, and T loops). Lineage: Eukaryota; Metazoa; Chordata; Mammalia; Artiodactyla; Camelidae. The record is from Rfam by way of RNAcentral. RNAcentral also lists the same sequence under 2 other names.